AAACUAACAAGGAUUCCCCUAGUAACGGCGAGUGAAGAGGGAAGAGCCCAAGAUUGAAAGCUGGCGUCUUCGGCGUCCGCAUUGUAAUCUCAAGAAGUGUUUUCCGCUUCGGACCAUGCCUAAGUCCCUUGGAAAAGGGCAUCAUAGAGGGUGAUAAUCCCGUACAUGGCAUGGAGCGCCCGAAGCUUUGUGAUACGCUUUCUAAGAGUCGAGUUGUUUGGGAAUGCAGCUCAAAAUGGGUGGUAAAUGCCAUCUAAGGCUAAAUAUUGGGGAGAGACCGAUAGCGAACAAGUACAGUGAUGGAAAGAUGAAAAGAACUUUGAAAAGAGAGUUAAACAGUACGUGAAAUUGCCAAAAGGGAAGGGUAGGAGGUCAGAGAUGCGGCCUGGGAUUCAGCCUUGCUUUUGCUUGGUGUUUUUCCCAGAUUGCAGGCCAACGUCGGUUUUGGGCACUGGAGAAGGGUAGGAGGAACGUGGCACCUCUCGGGGUGUGUUAUAGCCUCCUACUGGAUACAGCGACCGAGACCGAGGACAGCAGCGUACUCGCAAGAGCGGGCCUUCGGGCACCUUUACGCU
RNAcentral lists this ribosomal RNA (575 nucleotides) under Dirkmeia churashimaensis. Its description in RNAcentral is "partial large subunit ribosomal RNA". It matches the Rfam family "Eukaryotic large subunit ribosomal RNA", at positions 62 to 615 of the family's 3401-position model. Lineage: Eukaryota; Fungi; Basidiomycota; Ustilaginomycetes; Ustilaginales; Ustilaginaceae. The record is from RNAcentral.